Molecule: transfer RNA, 71 nt
Filed under: Cichla ocellaris (peacock cichlid)
Lineage: Eukaryota; Metazoa; Chordata; Actinopteri; Cichliformes; Cichlidae
Description: tRNA-Ser
Rfam family: tRNA
About the family: Transfer RNA (tRNA) molecules are approximately 80 nucleotides in length. Their secondary structure includes four short double-helical elements and three loops (D, anti-codon, and T loops). Further hydrogen bonds mediate the characteristic L-shaped molecular structure. tRNAs have two regions of fundamental functional importance: the anti-codon, which is responsible for specific mRNA codon recognition, and the 3' end, to which the tRNAs corresponding amino acid is attached (by aminoacyl-tRNA synthetases). tRNAs cope with the degeneracy of the genetic code in two manners: having more than one tRNA (with a specific anti-codon) for a particular amino acid; and 'wobble' base-pairing, i.e. permitting non-standard base-pairing at the 3rd anti-codon position.
Source: RNAcentral
AAGAAAGUGNCAGAGUGGUUAUGUGGUUGGCUUGAAACCAAUUUAUGGGGGUUCAAYUCCCUUCUUUNUCG